Molecule: long non-coding RNA, 7759 nt
Organism: Salvelinus fontinalis (brook trout)
Lineage: Eukaryota; Metazoa; Chordata; Actinopteri; Salmoniformes; Salmonidae
Exons: 2
Source: RefSeq, a predicted model, not a curated record
UCUGUGCCACCAGUAAGUACAGAUAGUAGUAUAAAUCCCUGCGCACAGUCCCCGCAGCCGGACAAUUUUCUCAUGAAAUCUAUGCAGCCUACUCACUUUUUAUAGCUACUGUUUACAGGCCUCCUGGGCCAUAUACAGCGUUCCUCACUGAGUUCCCUGAAUUCCUAUCGGACCUUGUAGUCAUGGCAGAUAAUAUUCAAAUUUUUGGUGACUUUAAUAUUCACAUGGAAAAGUUCACAGACCCACUCCAAAAGGCUUUUGGAGCCAUCGACUCAGUGGGUUUUGUUCAACAUGUCUCCGGACCUACUCACUGCCACAGUCAUACUCUGGACCUAGUUUUGUCCCAUGGAAUAAAUGUUGUGGAUCUUAAUGUUUUUCCUCAUAACCCUGGACUAUCGGACCACCAUUUUAUUACGUUUGCAAUCACAACAAAUAAUCUGCUCAGACCCCAACCAAGGAUCAUCAAAAAAUCAUUCACCGUGCUAUAAAUUCUCGGACAAUCCAAAGAUUCCUAGAUGCCCUUCUAGACUCCCUCUGCCUACCCAAGGACGUCAGAGGACAUAAAUCAGUUAACCACCUAACUGAGGAACUCAAUUUAACCUUGCGCAAUACCCUAGAUGCAGUCGCAACCCUAAAAACGAAAAUCAUUUGUCAUAAGAAACUAGCUCCCUGGUAUACAGAAAAUACCCGAGCUCUGAAGCAUGCUUCCAGAAAAUUGGAACGGAAAUGGCGCUACACCAAACUGGAAGUCUUCCGACUAGCUUGGAAAGACAGUACCGUCCAGUAUGGAAGAGCCCUCACUGCUGCUCGAUCAUCCUAUUUUUCCAACUUAAUUGAGGAAAAUAAGAACAAUCCAAAAUGUAUUUUUGAUACUGUUGCAAAGCUAACUAAAAAGCAGCAAUCCCCAAGAGGAUGGCUUUCACUUCAGCAGUGAUAAAUUCAUGAACUUCUUUGAGGAAAAGAUCAUGAUCAGUAGAAAGCAAAUUAGGGACUCCUCUUUAAAUCUGAGUAUUCCUACAAAGCUCAGUUGUCCUGAGUCUGUACAACUCUGCCAGGACCUAGGAUCAAGGGAGACACUCAAGUGUUUUAGUACUAUAUCUCCUGACACAUUGAUGAAAAUAAUCAUGGCCUCUAUACGUUCAAGCUGCAUACUGGACCCUAUUCCAACUAAACUACUGAAAGAGCUGCUUCCUGUUUGGUCCUCCUAUGUUGAACAUAAUAAACGGCUCUCUAUCCACCGGAUGUGUACCAAACUGACUAAAAGUGGCAGUAAUAAAGCCUCUCUUGAAAAGGCCAAACCGUGACCCAGAAAAUAUAAAAAACUAUCGGCCUAUAUCGAAUCUCCCAUUCCUCUCAAAAUUUUUAGAAAAAGCUGUUGCACAGCAACUCACUGCCUUUCUGAAGACAAACAAUGUUUGUCCCCAUCAUAGCACUGAGACUGCACUUGUGAAGGUGGUAAAUUACCUUUCAAUGGCGUCAGAACGAGGCUCUGCAUCUGUCCUCAUGCUCCUAGACCUUAGUGCUGCUUUUGAUACGAUAAAUCACCACAUUCUUUUGGAGAGAUUGGAAACCCAAAAUGGUCUACACGGACAAGUUCUGGCCUGGUUUAGAUCUUAUCUGUCGGAAAGAUAUCAAUUUGUCUCUGUGGAUGGUUUGUCAUCUGACAAAUCAUCUGUAAAUUUCGGUGUUCCUCAAGGCUCCGUUUUAGGACCACUAUUGUUUUCACUAUAUAUUUUAGCUCUUGGUGAUGUCAUUCGGAAACAUAAUGUUAACUUUCACUGUGGAUGACACAGCUGUACAUGUCGCUGAAACAUGGUGAAGCCCCAAAAUUGCCCUCCCUGGAAGCCUGUGUGUCAGACAUAAGGAAGUGGAUGGUGGCAAAUGUUAUACUUUUAAACUUGGACAAAACAGAGAUGCUAGUUCUAGGUCCCAAGAAACAAAGAAAUCUGUUAAAUCUGACAAUUAAUCUUGAUGGUUGUACAGUCAUCUCAAAUAAAACUGUGAAGGACCUUGGUGUUACUCUGGACCCUGAUCUCUCUUUUGACGAACAUAUCAUGACUGUUUCAAGGACAGCUUUUUUCCAUCUACGUAACAUUGCAAAAAUCAGAAACUUUCUGUCCAAAAAUGAUGCAGAAAGAUUAAUCCAUGCUUUUGUCACUUCUAGGUUAGACUACUACAAUGCUCUACUUUCCGGCUACCCGGAUAAAGCACUAAAUAAACUUCAGUUAGUGCUAAACACGGCUGCUAGAAUCUUGACUAGAAUCCCAAAAAAUGAUCAUAUUACUCCAGUGCUAGCCUCUCUACACUGGCUUCCUGUUAAGGCAAGGGCUGAUUUCAAGAUUUUACUGCUAACCUACAAAGCAUUACAUGGGCUUGCUCCUACCUAUCUUUCCGAUUUGGUCCUGUCGUACAUACCUACACGUACGCUACGGUCACAAGACGCAGGCCUCUUUACUGUCCCUAGAAUUUCUAAGCAAACAGCUGGAGGCAGGGCUUUCUCCUAUAUAGCUCAAUUUUUAUGGAAUGGUCUGCCCACCCAUGUGAGAGACGCAGACUCGGUCUCAACAUUUAAGUCUUUACUGAAGACUCUUCAGUAGGUCAUAUGAUUGAGUGUAGUCUGGCCCAGGAGUGUGAACCCUAUUACAGGGGCUGAGUCACUGGCUUACUGGUGCUCUUCCAUGCCUUCCCUAGGAGGGGUGCAUCACUUGAGUGGGUUGAGUCACUGACGUGAUCUUCCUGCCCCCCCCUUGGGUUGUGCCGUGGGGGAGAUCUUCGUGGGCUAUACUCGGCCUCGUCUCAGGAUGGUAAGUUGUUGGUUGAAGAUAUCCCUCUAGUGGUGUGGGGGCUGUGCUUUGACAAAGUGGGUGGGGUUAUAUCCUGCCUGUUUGGCCCUGUCCGGUGUAUCGUCGUACGGGCCCAGAGUGUCUCCCGACCCCUCCUGUCUCAGCCUCCAGUAUUUAUGCUGCAGUAGUUUAUGUGUCGGGGGCUAGGGUAAGUCUGUUAUAUCUGGAGUAUUUCUCCUGUCUUAUCCGGCGUCCUGUGUGAAUUUAAGUAUACCUUCUCUAAUUCUCUUUCUUACUUUCUCUCGGAGGACCUGAGCCCUAGGACCAACUAGGACCAACAGGACUAACUGGCCUGAUGACUCCUUGCUGUCCCCAGUCCACCUGGUCGUGUUGCUGCUCCAGUUUCAACGGUUCUGCCUGCGGCUAUGGAACCCUGUUCACCGAACGUGCUACUGUGACAGGGGUGUAACACUACCUGUCCCAGACCUGCUGUUUUCAACUCUCUAGAGACAGCAAGAGCAGUAGAGAUACUCUGAAUGAUCGGCUAUGAAAAGCCAACUGACAUUUACUCCUGAGGUGCUGACCUGUUGCACCCUCGACAACCACUGUGAUUAUUAUUAUUUUACCCUUUUGGUCAUCUAUGAACAUUUGAACAUCUUGGCCAUGUUCUAUUAUAAUCUCCACCCGGCACAGCCAGAAGGGGACUGGCCUCCCCUCAUAGCCUGGUUCCUCUCUAUGUUUCUUCCUAGGUUCUGGCCUUUCUAGGGAGUUUUUCCUAGCCACUGUGCUUCUACACCUGCAUUGCUUGCUGUUUGGGGUUUUAGGCUGGGUUUCUGUUUGAGGUCGACCGAUUAAUCAGAAUUGACGAUUAAUUAGGGCCAAUUUCAAGUUUUCAUAACAAUUGGUAAUCAGCAUUUUUGGAUGCCGAUCAUGGCAGAUUACAUUGCACUCCACGAGGAGACUGCGUGGCAGGCUGACUGCCUGUUAUGCGAGUGCAGCAAGGAGCCAAGGUAAGGUGCCAGCUAGCAUUAAACGUAUCUUAUAAAAAACAAUCAAUCUUAACAUAAUCACUAGUUAACUACACAUGGUUGAUGAUAUUACUAGUUUAUCUAGCUUGUCCUGCGUUGCAUAUAAUCGAUGCGGUGCCUGUUAAUUUAUCAUUGAAUCACAGCCUACUUCGCCAAACGGGGGAUUUAACAAGCGCAUUCGCGAUAAACGCACUGUGGUUGCACCAACGCGUACCUAACCAUAAACAUCAAAGCCUUUCUUAAAAUCAUUACACAAGUUUAUAUUUUUAAACCCGCAUAUUUAGUUAAUAUUGCCUGUUAACAUGACUUUCUUUUAACUCGGGAAAUUGUGACACUUCUCUUGCGUUCUGUGCAACAGAGUCAGGGUAUAUGCAGCAGUUUGGGCUGCCUUGAUCGUUGCGAACUGUGUGAAGACCAUUUCUUCCUAACAAAGACAGCCAACUUCGCCAAACGGGGAUGAUUUAACAAAAGCGCAUUUGCAAAAAAAGCACAAUCGUUGCAUGAAUGUACCUAAUCAUAAACAUCAAUGCCUUUCUUAAAAUCAAUACACGGAAGUAUCUUUUUUUAAACCUGCAUAUUUAGUUAAAAGAAAUUCAUGUUAGCAUGCAAUUUUAAACGAGGGAAAUUGUGUCACUUCUCUUGCGUUCAUUGCACGCAGAGUCAGGGUAUAUGCAACAGUUUGGGCCGCCUGGCUCGUUGCGAACUAAUUUGUCAGAAUUUUACGUACUUAUGACAUAACAUUGAAGAUUGUGCAAUGUAACAGCAAUAUUUAGAUUUAGGGUUGCCACCCGUUAGAUAAAAUACAGAACGGUUCCGUAUUUCACUGAAAGAAUAAACGUUUUGUUUUCGAAAUGAAAGUUUCCAGAUUUGACCAUAUUAAUGACCUAAGGCUCGUGUUUCUGUGUGUUAUUAUAUUAUAAUUAAGUCUAUGAUUUGAUAGAGCAGUCUGACUGAGCGGUGGUAGGCAGCAGCAGGAUCGUAAACAUUCAUUCAAACAGCACUUUACUGCGUUUGCCAGCAGCUCUUCGCAAUGCUUCAAUCAUCGCGCUGUUUAUGACUUCAAGCCUAUCAACUCCCGAGAUUAGGCUGGCAAUUCUAAAGUACCUAUUAGAACAUCCAAUAGUCAAAGGUAUAUGAAAUAUAAAAAAGUAUAGAGAGAAAUAGUCCUAUAAUAACUACAACCUAAAACUUCUUACCUGGGAAUAUUGAAGACUCAUGUUAAAAGGAACCACCAGCUUUCAUGAUCAAUCAACCUACCAGGUACAACUCCAAAUCCGUAAACACGGGCACCCUCAUUGAUGUCAUCCUAAUUAACUCGCCCUCCAAAUACACCUCUGAGGUUUUCAAUCAAGAUCUCAGCGAUCACUGCCUCAUUGCCUGCAUCCGUAAUGGGUCUGCGACCAAACGACCACCCCUCAUCAUUGUCAAACGCUCCCUAAAACACUUCUGCGAGCAGGCCUUUCUAAAUCGACCUGGCCGGGAUAUCCUGGAAUGACAUUGACCUCAUCCCGUCAGUAGAUGAUGCCUGGCUAUUCUUUAAAAGUGCCUUCCUCACCAUCUUAAAUAGGCAUGCCCCAUUCAAAAAAUGUAGAACUAUGAAUAGAUAUAGUCCUUGGUUCACUCCAGACCUGUCUGUCCUUGACCAGCACAAAAACAUCCUGUGGCGUUCUGCGUUACCAUCGAAUAGCCCCCGUGAUAUGCAACUUUUCAGGGAAGUUAGGAACAAAUAUACACAUGCAGUUAGGAAAGCUAAGAAUAGCUUUUUCAAACAGAAAUGUGCAUCCUGUAGUACUAACUCAAAACAUUUCUGGAACACUGUAAAGUCCAUGGAGAAUAAGAGCACCUCCUCCCAGCUGCACACUGCUCUGAGGCUAGGAAACACUGUCACCACAGAUAAAUCCACGAUAAUCGAGAAUUUCAAUAAGCAUUUCUCUACGGCUGGCCAUGCUUUCCACCUGGCUACCCCUACCCCGGUAAACUGCCCGGCACCCUCCACAGCAACCCGCCAAAGCCCCCACCAUUUCUCCUUCACCCAAAUCCAGAUAGUUGAUGUUCUGAAAGAGCGGCAAAAUCUGGACCCCUCCAAAUCAGCCGGGCUAGACAAUCUGGACCCUCUCUUUCUAAAAUGAUCUGCCGAAAUUGUUGCAACCCCUAUUACUAGCCUGUUCAACCUGUCUUUCGUAUCAUCUGAGAUUCCCUAAGAUUGGAAAGCUGCCGCGGUCAUCCCCCUCUUCAAAGGGGGUGACACUCUAGACCCAAACUGCUACAGAUCUAUAUCUAUCCUACCCUGUCUUUCUAAGGUCUUCGAAAGCCAAGUAAACAAACAGAUCACCGACCAUUUCGAAUCCCACCGUACCUUCUCCGCUAUGCAAUCUGGUUUCAGAGCUGGUUAUGGGUGCACCUCAGCCACGCUCAAGGUCCUAAACGACAUCAUAACCGCCAUCGAUAAGAGACAUUACUGUGCAGCCGUAUUCAUCGACCUGGCCAAGGCUUUCGACUCUGUCAAUCACCACAUUCUUAUUGGCAGUAUCGACAGCCUAGGUUUCUCAAAUAAUUGCCUCGCCUGGUUUACCAACUACGUCUCUGGUAGAGUUCAGUGUGUCAAAUCGGAGGGCCUGUUGUCCGGACCUCUGGCAGUCUCUAUGGGGGUACCACAGGGUUCAAACCUCGGGCCCACUCUCUUCUCUGUAUACAUCAAUGAUGUUGCUCUUCCUGCUGGUGAUUCUCUGAUACACUACGCAGACGACACCAUUCUGUAUACUUCUGGCCCCUCUUUGGACAGUGUGUUAACUAACCUCUAGACGAGCUUCAAUGCCAUACAACUCUUCUUCCGUGGCUUCCAACUGCUCUUAAACACAAGUAAAACUAAAUGCAUGCUAUUCAACCGAUCACUGCCCGCACCUGCUCGCCCGUCCAGCAUCACUACUCUGGAGGGCUCUGACUUAGAAUACGUGGACAACUACAAAUACCUAGGUGUCUGGUUAGACUGUAAACUCUCCUUCCAGACUCACAUCAAGCAUCUCCAAUCCAAUAUUAAAUCUAGAAUCGGCUUCCUAUAUCGCAACAAAGCAUCCUUCACUCAUGCAGCCAAACAUAACCUCGUAAAACUGACCAUCCUACCGAUCCUCGACUUUGGUGAUGUCAUCUAUAAAAUAGCCUCCAACACCCUUCUCAACAAAUUGGAUGCAGUCUAUCACAGUGCCAUCCGUUUUGUCACCAAAGACCCAUACACUACCCACCAUUGCGACCUGUACGCUCUCAUUGCUUGGCCCUCGCUUCAUACUCGUCGCCAAACCCACUGGCUACAGGUUAUCUACAAGUCUCUGCUAGGUAAAGCCCCGCAUUAUCUCAGCUCACUGGUCACCAUAGCAGCACCCACUCGUAGCACGCGCUCCAGCAGGUAUAUCUCACUGGUCACCCCUAAAGCGAAUUCCUCUUUUGGUCGUCUUUCCUUCCAGUUCUCUGCUGCCAAUGACUGGAACGAACUGCAAAAAUCUCUGAAGCUGGAGACUCAUAUCUCCCUCACCAGCUGUCAGAGCAGCUCACAGAUCACUGCACCUGUACAUAGCCCAUCUGUAAACAGCCCAUCUAUCUACCUACCUCAUCCCCAUACUGUAUUUAUUUAUUUAUCUUGCUCCUUUGCACCCCAGUAUCUCUACUUGCACAUUCAUCUUCUGCACAUCUACCAUUCCAGUGUUUAAUUGCUAUAUUGUAAUUACUUCGCCACCAUGGCCUAUUUAUUGCCUUAACUCCCUUAUCUUACCUCAUUUGCACUCACUAUAUAUAGACUUUUUGUUUUCUUUUGUUCUACUGUAUUAUUGACUAUGUUUUGUUUAUUCCAUGUGUAACUCUGUGUUGUUGUAUGUGUAGAAUUGCUAAGCUUUAUCUUGGCCAGGUCGCAGUUGCAAAUGAGAACUUGUUCUCAACUAGCCUACCUGGUUAAAUAAA